GAUCAACAGAUAUAUCCAUUGCGCACUGUUCAAGAAAUCCAUCAUGUGAAACUGUACAAGACUGAUUUUCAGAGUUUCCCAAAACAUUCCCCGAAGCAUCAAACCCUUCCAACUGGCCACCAUCAUCAGAUGCCAACAACUCUGUAAAUGAGAAAUACGUCUGCGGUUCAAACUCCAUAUCCUCAUAGUUCAGACCUUCAUAGUCAAACAUCACCUCGCCUUCAAGGCCAUUAGAGGAAACAUCCCACUCCGCACAAGAAGGUAACUCCUCUUUAGGGUUCAUGAGGUUAUUCCUAUCAACAGGCACAGAUGAUUCUGUGUGAUGGUUGUUCUCAAACAUACCUUCAGCAUUGAAUUGAGGCUUUGUAUGCCUUCUGACUGGUAGUUUCUGUGGGCCCUGUCCAGCAGCAUUCCAUUCAAGCUCUGCUCUAGAAUUGUCCUCCGUAAUUUGUUCAACUCUUGAAACAGAGAAAAGCAGAGGAUCAUCAUCCUGUACCAACACUUCCUCCAUGGGAUAAAUUGGAGUAGUGGGCUCACACACUUUAGAUUCGGCAACAGUUCCAGAAUCAUAGCCAACUCCUAUAUAUCCUUUCUUCAACACCCUCUCACAUGGCUUAUGGCUCACUGGCUUCUCACCUUCAGGGAUAUCAUAAGGACACUUGGGUGAUUUUAUUCUACGACACCUGCAGCAUUUGAAGCCCACCACAUUUGAAAGUUUUGACUCGUCAAGUCCCACAGCUUCAGCAUGAAACCAACUGUUGCAAGUUUCACAAUGGAUAUACAUCAGAUCACGAUUAUAUGCCUUUUUGCAAAGGUUACAUACAGGCUUCAACCUCUCUGAAUUGCCCUUAAAAAGAAUGUUCUCACGCCUGAAAUCAAUUCCUGUGUCAGUGUUCUUUUUCUUCCAAAUGACACCCCAACUACAUAAUCUACUUCUGUUUUUCGUUGCCAGACUAGAAGCAGUAGUUUGUUUCAUCUCAGAGCUACUCUCCUGGGUUCUGAUAGAUAUUAAUGGUUGAUUACGAAAUUUAAUCCUUGUGAUUUUGGUGGCUGUCUGUAUAUUAUGAGAUUCUUGCCCUUGUAAGGGCAAGGGAGUAGUCGGAGACUCAUUACUGUUUUCAUGAGUAACAGCUUUGGCAUUGUAACACUGCUUGCAGGUAAUCAAAAAUUCAACAUCCUCAUUCAUAUAACUUUUUGAACUUACAGUACAGUCUUUAUGACAAUAACCUUGGCAACCACUGCACUUGACAGUAUUCCUGAUUAAAACAUCAUGUUGACAAGAUGCACAAGAGCAUCUCUCCAACUUAUCUCUCUUAUAAGCAAGAUAUAAAAAUAUAUCCCUGCGAGAAGCUUUCAAUUGCCGUCUCUGUAACUCAGAUAGUUCAUUCAAAGAUUUAUUAGGUGAUGGCAAAAACACCUUGUCAACCUUUUCUUCAUACUCUUUGAUCAAAUAUAGAGGAACAUGUGUUUCGAAAAACCAAUAUUUCUCCUUUCCAUCUGCACUUUGCUCUAUUUCAAUUAUAUUCU
This 1527-nucleotide unclassified non-coding RNA is filed under the name Hevea brasiliensis (rubber tree). The record is from RNAcentral. Lineage: Eukaryota; Viridiplantae; Streptophyta; Magnoliopsida; Malpighiales; Euphorbiaceae.